This 2443-nucleotide long non-coding RNA is filed under the name Heterocephalus glaber (naked mole-rat). Its description in RNAcentral is "lncRNA (ENSHGLG00000035703.1)". Lineage: Eukaryota; Metazoa; Chordata; Mammalia; Rodentia; Bathyergidae. The record is from RNAcentral.
CUCUCUCUUUCUUUUUCUUUUUUAUUCCUCCUCUCUCUACUUACUAGUGUAGUUGCAGUACCAUAUACAGAAACAUAAUUUCAAAUAAUCUUAAUGCAUACAUUUUGUUAGAUUAAAGAUGAAAAAUUCAUAAAAAGUCAAACCAUUUUAAAAUUAGUUUUAUUAUUGGUAGUAGCACAGUAAUGGUUUACAAUAAGUAGUAUGUGAUUUUCUUAAUACCUUAUCAACCAAAAUUGCCAUCAUGAGAUAAUAAUGCAAAAGUAAAGUAAGAAUUUAAGAAAAAAAUUUAUAAUCAUAUUUGAAUUGGAACGUACACUGUUUUCUACUUUUUUUAAAGUGCUUACUUUGUAUCUUUAUCUGCUAAAAAAAGAAAGGGCUUAUAAGCAAUGGAAAAUCCAGUAGCAAUGGUUACCUUUAGUGCCUGUUUGUAAACUCUAAACAUUAUUUUACAGAAGAGAAAACCCAGGAGCUAGGAAUUGGGUUUUGGGCAGAAAUUAUGCAUAAUUAUAUGGGAAUAUCUUAUAAAAGCAAGGAAGCUCUCAAAAAAUUCUAGGGAUGUUAGAAAAAGAUCCAGGAUAGGGUAAUUUGAACAUGAAAGAAAACAAUGACUGCAAUGGAUUAGAACUUAGAAAAGUGAGUAAGUCCACAAUAAAACUUGUUAAGCAUCAGUAACAAAAUACUUUUUAUAUAUUUGGAGGUAAUUUUGGCACCACCUUGUUAGUCUGAAAAUCAGUGAAAUAAGUAAUAAUCAUUUGUAAAUAAACAAUAAGCAUUUGUCCUGUUUACCUGCAUGAAUGGUAUUUCAGAACAAUGAAAUAGUAAGACAGGAAUGUUCUCAUUUGUAGAAUUGUGGAUAGUAAAUAUAGAGAAGGUGAUGGAUUUAGAAUAUUACCAUUUAAAAUUAUCAAUGAGAAAAAAUGGUACUAUGCAAAGAUUUUCAAAAGGUAUUAAAGCAAGUAGGUGAAGGAAAAACGACAAUAGAUGGAAAAAUGAUAAUAUGAGGAUAGUCACGUAGUUAUAGUGGACAAAAGAUUAUGGCUCCAAAGAUCAUUCCUCAUUCACUGCUCAACUCUGGUGCCUGGAAAACCUAAUUGGAUCAAAACAGGAAUAGGUCUUAAUACACGUAUGGAAAUGAGAAUCUGAUACAUCUAACAUAUCAGACUAAGGAAAAAUCUCCAGGGUUCUGAAGGAAUGCUCUUGGAUCGAAUCCAGCUAAGUUUGGACAUAUCAAGUUCUACACUUAGAUUUUUCACUUCUGGAAGAUUUUAAAAAUAAUUUGGUGACUGCUGUCUCUGAGCACAAAAUCUGAGUCUCAUCACUACAUAAUAAUGCCUAUUGUGUGGAUGCCUGCACACCUGAAACUGGUAAUUAAAUGAAACUACAGAAGUUAAAUAACUUGCCCAAAUUUACCAGCUACUAUGAUUUUCUCACCUGUAAUCUUGUCCUGAGCUGUAGGACAUCAAGAGAUGAAAAGGUGAAAGUUCGGACUGAUGAUAGUUCCUGCUGAAGAAGAGAGGACUGCCACCAUUUCAGUGGACACAGCCAAGAACACAUUUUCCUUUGAAACACACAGAGCACACAAGGUUAGGUUAUUGAAUUUAAAUUCCAAGUUUUUAAAGAUUCAAAAUCAGAAAAACCAGUCAGACACCAACUGGAAUCAAUAAAUUAUGAGAAGACUUAAAAUGGUAGUUGAAAAAGUGUUUGAGGAACGAGACAGAAGAUGGAAAGGAAGUAGUGUCGGUAGGGGAUUAGUUGAUUUACCAAGGGCAUUUAUAACGUGGUUUUUGCUGACACAGCAGACACUCAUGAACCAAAGUGAAGGACAGGGGAGGGAGGCAGGGCUUAGAGAUAUUUCUAUACAAACCUUUAGGUGGCCGGCGACAAAGAGAUCAAGCCAUUUUUGCUGAUAAGCGAGGGCAAUUCACAGGUCAGAACUUUGAUCACGAGAAAUUUUAAUUACUCAGAUAUUGAUCAGAACACCUAGUAACCAACUACAGAAAGAAGAGUUUGGGAACAGAGCUGAAUUUCUUAACUUCACACUGGGGGACCUGACUGCUCUUCUUAGACUGUGAUCAGUUGCUAUUCUAAACAUAUCCUAGGAAAAAAGCCAACUAUAAUAAAGGCUCAGACUUUGGGGAACAUCAGUGCCUGAAAUAUCACUAGACUUUAAAUGCUAAGUGGAAGAAACAUUAAAGGAAGCUGAUUUUAAAAGAAUGUGGGGAAAGCCCUAAGGACCUUUGAAAUUUUAUAAUGUAAAGGGGAAAAGGAGAAGAAUAUUUAAAGGAGAAUAGAAGUGCUUUUCAAAAUCAAUAAAAAAAAUUAAACUGUCUUAAUGUCCUCAGGUCAGCAAUACUGUCUCAGAGCUAGGAUCUGCCCCAACAUAUCAGGUGUCUCUCUGGCUACUGAAAACUUGUUCUUAUGACUUGGUUACAUAUGUUUAGAG